AUUGAACGCUGGCGGCAUGCCUUACACAUGCAAGUCGAACGGCAGCACGGGAGCAAUCCUGGUGGCGAGUGGCGAACGGGUGAGUAAAGUAUCGGAACGUGCCCAGUCGUGGGGGAUAACGUAGCGAAAGUUACGCUAAUACCGCAUACGAUCUAUGGAUGAAAGCGGGGGAUCGCAAGACCUCGCGCGAUUGGAGCGGCCGAUAUCAGAUUAGGUAGUAGGUAGGGUAAAGGCUCACCAAGCCGACGAUCUGUAGCUGGUCUGAGAGGGCGACCAGCCACACUGGGACUGAGACACGGCCCAGACUCCUACGGGAGGCAGCAGUGGGGAAUUUUGGACAAUGGGCGAAAGCCUGAUCCAGCCAUGCCGCGUGCAGGAUGAAGGCCUUCGGGUUGUAAACUGCUUUUGUACGGAACGAAAAGGUUUGGCCUAAUAAGCUGAGCUCAUGACGGUACCGUAAGAAUAAGCACCGGCUAACUACGUGCCAGCCGCCGCCGUAA
Molecule: ribosomal RNA, 500 nt
Filed under: uncultured bacterium
Lineage: Bacteria
Description: partial 16S ribosomal RNA
Rfam family: Bacterial small subunit ribosomal RNA
Source: RNAcentral